UGAGGAAUAUUGGUCAAUGGGCGAGAGCCUGAACCAGCCAAGUAGCGUGCGGGAUGAAGGCCCUUGUGGUCGUAAACCGCUUUUAUCAGUGAAUAAAGUGCACCACGUGUGGUGUCACUGCAGGUAGCUGAAGAAAAAGGACCGGCUAAUUCCGUGCCAGCAGCCGCGGUAAUACGGAAGGUCCGGGCGUUAUCCGGAAUUAUUGGGUUUAAAGGGAGCGCAGGCGGGAGUAUAAGUCAGCUGUUAAAUAUCAGAGCCCAACUCUGUUAUGCAGUUGAAACUAUAUUUCUUGAGUACGCACAGGGAUGGCGGAAUUCAGGGUGUAGCGGUGAAAUGCUUAGAUAUCCUGAAGAACUCCGAUCGCGAAGGCAGCCAUCCGGAGCGUAACUGACGCUGAGGCUCGAAGGUGCGGGUAUCGAACAGGAUUAGAUACCCUGGUAGUCCGCACGGUAAACGAUGAAUACUCGCAGUUCGGUCUUUAUGAUCGAGUUGUCCAGCGAAAGCGUUAAGUAUUCCACCUGGGGAGUACGCCGGCAACGGUG
This 542-nucleotide ribosomal RNA is filed under the name uncultured bacterium. RNAcentral describes it as "bacterial SSU rRNA". It matches the Rfam family "Bacterial small subunit ribosomal RNA", at positions 355 to 896 of the family's 1533-position model. The record is from RNAcentral.